Schistosoma rodhaini is the source of this 72-nucleotide non-coding RNA. The record is from Rfam. Lineage: Eukaryota; Metazoa; Platyhelminthes; Trematoda; Strigeidida; Schistosomatidae.
ACCCCGAUAGCAUAGGGGUAAGUAUCUCCGCCUGUUACGUGGAAGGCCCGCGUUCGAUUCCCGGUCGAGGUG